This is a transfer RNA of Erythrobacter sp. SG61-1L, 74 nucleotides long. It matches the Rfam family "tRNA". From Rfam's summary of the family: Transfer RNA (tRNA) molecules are approximately 80 nucleotides in length. Their secondary structure includes four short double-helical elements and three loops (D, anti-codon, and T loops). Further hydrogen bonds mediate the characteristic L-shaped molecular structure. tRNAs have two regions of fundamental functional importance: the anti-codon, which is responsible for specific mRNA codon recognition, and the 3' end, to which the tRNAs corresponding amino acid is attached (by aminoacyl-tRNA synthetases). tRNAs cope with the degeneracy of the genetic code in two manners: having more than one tRNA (with a specific anti-codon) for a particular amino acid; and 'wobble' base-pairing, i.e. permitting non-standard base-pairing at the 3rd anti-codon position. NCBI's taxonomy places the organism in Bacteria, Pseudomonadati, Pseudomonadota, Alphaproteobacteria, Sphingomonadales, Erythrobacteraceae. The record is from Rfam.
GCACCCGUAGCUCAGCUGGAUAGAGUACUGCCCUCCGAAGGCAGGGGUCACAGGUUCGAAUCCUGUCGGGUGCG